CCUACGGGUGGCUGCAGUGGGGAAUAUUGCACAAUGGGCGCAAGCCUGAUGCAGCCAUGCCGCGUGUGUGAAGAAGGCCUUCGGGUUGUAAAGCACUUUCAGCGGGGAGGAAGGCGGUGAGGUUAAUAACCUCAUCGAUUGACGUUACCCGCAGAAGAAGCACCGGCUAGCUCCGUGCCAGCAGCCGCGGUAAUACGGAGGGUGCAAGCGUUAAUCGGGAUUACUGGGCGUAAAGCGCACGCAGGCGGUCUGUCAAGUCGGAUGUGAAAUCCCCGGGCUCAACCUGGGAACUGCAUUCGAAACUGGCAGGCUAGAGUCUUGUAGAGGGGGGUAGAAUUCCAGGGGUAGCGGUGAAAUGCGUAGAGAUCUGGAGGAAUACCGGUGGCGAAGGCGGCCCCCUGGACAAAGACUGACGCUCAGGUGCGAAAGCGUGGGGAGCAAACAGGAUUAGAUACCCUAGUAGUC
RNAcentral lists this ribosomal RNA (465 nucleotides) under uncultured Klebsiella sp. Its description in RNAcentral is "bacterial SSU rRNA". It matches the Rfam family "Bacterial small subunit ribosomal RNA", at positions 338 to 795 of the family's 1533-position model. The record is from RNAcentral. Lineage: Bacteria; Pseudomonadati; Pseudomonadota; Gammaproteobacteria; Enterobacterales; Enterobacteriaceae.